GGGGGGGGAACCCCACGGACCAGUGCCACAGAAAGCAGACCGCCGCCUAGCUGGACUCGCAAGAGUCGGCGGGACGGCAAGGGUGAAACGGAGAGGUAAGAGCUCACCAGCGGCGCGGGUGACCGCGCCGGCUCGGCAAACCCCACCCGGAGCAAGGCCAAAUAGGAGCGCAAUCGGGUGGCCCGCCCGCGCGCUCGGGUUAGGCCGCUGGAGACGCCGGGCAACCGGCGCCCUAGAGAAAUGACCGUCGCCCCGGGCCAGGACACCGCUCGGGGCACAGGACCCGGCUUACAGGCCUUCUCUGGCG
Molecule: RNase P RNA, 307 nt
Filed under: Candidatus Rokuibacteriota bacterium
Lineage: Bacteria; Candidatus Rokuibacteriota
Description: partial RNase P RNA component class A
Rfam family: Bacterial RNase P class A
About the family: Ribonuclease P (RNase P) is a ubiquitous endoribonuclease, found in archaea, bacteria and eukarya as well as chloroplasts and mitochondria. Its best characterised activity is the generation of mature 5'-ends of tRNAs by cleaving the 5'-leader elements of precursor-tRNAs.
Source: RNAcentral